This 449-nucleotide ribosomal RNA is filed under the name uncultured bacterium. RNAcentral describes it as "bacterial SSU rRNA". It matches the Rfam family "Bacterial small subunit ribosomal RNA", at positions 330 to 795 of the family's 1533-position model. The record is from RNAcentral.
UCCAGACUCCUACGGGAGGCAGCAGUGGGGAAUAUUGCACAAUGGGGGAAACCCUGAUGCAGCAACGCCGCGUGAGUGAAGAAGCGUUUCGGCGCGUAAAGCUCUGUCAGCGGGGAAGAAAGAAGACGGUACCCGACCAAGAAGCCCCGGCUAACUACGUGCCAGCAGCCGCGGUAAUACGUAGGGGGCGAGCGUUAUCCGGAAUUACUGGGUGUAAAGGGAGCGCAGGCGGCACGGCAAGCCUGAUGUGAAAGCCCGCGGCCCAACCGCGGGACUGCAUUGGGAACUACCGGGCUGGAGUGCCGGAGAGGUAGGCGGAAUUCCUAGUGUAGCGGUGAAAUGCGUAGAUAUUAGGAGGAACACCAGUGGCGAAGGCGGCCUACUGGACGGUGACUGACGCUGAGGCUCGAAAGCGUGGGGAGCAAACAGGAUUAGAUACCCCGGUAAUA